RNAcentral lists this transfer RNA (74 nucleotides) under Streptococcus henryi. It matches the Rfam family "tRNA". Rfam says of the family: Transfer RNA (tRNA) molecules are approximately 80 nucleotides in length. Their secondary structure includes four short double-helical elements and three loops (D, anti-codon, and T loops). Further hydrogen bonds mediate the characteristic L-shaped molecular structure. tRNAs have two regions of fundamental functional importance: the anti-codon, which is responsible for specific mRNA codon recognition, and the 3' end, to which the tRNAs corresponding amino acid is attached (by aminoacyl-tRNA synthetases). tRNAs cope with the degeneracy of the genetic code in two manners: having more than one tRNA (with a specific anti-codon) for a particular amino acid; and 'wobble' base-pairing, i.e. permitting non-standard base-pairing at the 3rd anti-codon position. Lineage: Bacteria; Bacillati; Bacillota; Bacilli; Lactobacillales; Streptococcaceae. The record is from Rfam by way of RNAcentral. RNAcentral also lists the same sequence under 1 other name.
GGAAACAUAGCUCAGUAGGUAGUAGCGCAUGACUUUUAAUCAUGAUGUCGUAGGUUCGAGUCCUGCUGUUUCCG